Xenia sp. Carnegie-2017 is the source of this 1524-nucleotide RNA transcript. It is a transcript of the gene named eukaryotic translation initiation factor 4H-like, with no coding region annotated. Lineage: Eukaryota; Metazoa; Cnidaria; Anthozoa; Malacalcyonacea; Xeniidae. The transcript is spliced from 9 exons. The record is from RefSeq and is a predicted model, not a curated record.
ACUCCGACCGCGCCACAUUGUUCGUUUUCAAAAUGGCUGAUCCAUCGACAUGGGGAGAAGAAGGACGAGGAGAUGGAAGAGAUGGCUACGGCUAUGCCCGACCACACAGUGAUAAUUACUAUAGUAGUGCUGGUGGUACUGGUGGAGGUAAUGACUGGAAUCGUCAAAAUCGCCGUGGUUACCGCGAUGAUAGAGGAUAUGGUGGGGGUGGUUCAGGUUAUGGUGGAGGUAGAUCCAGCAAGAUUCCAGAGGAACCCCCAUUCACUGCAUUUGUAGGUGGACUACCGGAUGGCACUGUACAAGGGGAUAUUGAUAGAAUAUUUGCUAAUCUAAGUAUUCGUAGUGUUAGACUUGUUCGUGAUAGAGACACGGACAAAUUUAAAGGUUUUUGUUAUGUGGAAUUUGAAGACAAGAAGUCGCUUGUUGAGGCUCUAGAAUACAAUGAUGCUGAAUAUGGCAACAGAAAUCUAAGGGUAGAUGUUGCUGAGGGAAGAAACAAAGAUAGAGGAGAUAGAGGACGAGGCAGAGGAGGUUUUCGUGGAGGAAGAGGUGGAGAUAGAGGAAGACCUCAGGUAGACAGAGGACAAAACAACUAUCGUGAUCAAGGUCGCAGUGGUUAUCAGGAUAGAGGCCGCCAUGAUGGUGGACGAGGAGGGAGGUAUGGAGGUAGAAGGGAUAAUAGAGGGCCACCGAUGCAAUAUGACAACUUUCCAGAGCCAAGUGAAGAAAGUGCCAGCGAACGACCAAGGUUAAAAUUACUGCCUCGGACAGUCAAAGAUCCCGUCAACGAUAUUGCAAAUUCUAUGCAACAGGCCAAAAUAUUUGGCGGAGCAAAGCCUCGCGACGAGAAACAAUAUGAGCAGAAACAAGCUGAAGUGGAAAGAAAACGUAAAGAGAGCGAAAACAGCGACAAGUAGUGAGCUUGGUAAUGUUUACAAAACAUACGUUAAGGUUUUAUGUAAAAUUAUAAUUCGAACAAGGAUUGCUAAUGGACAUAUAGACAUAGACGAUAGGACUUCAACGAUGGGUGGUUACAUAUCGUUUUUUCAAACCUAGAUAACCUUCAAAAACAAAGCAAUAACAAUGUAUUUCCUUUACGAAUGUUUUAUAAAGAUCAUCCCUGCGACAGCUAGGAGAAAAAACCACACUGAAUGAGAUAAUUGAGAAGAAAAAGAGCAAAAAGCUCAAUGUAUUGCUGAUUAAGUAUAAAGUGAAGAAUAAACGACCACAACUAACGUGGUUCAAUUACGAACAGUUUUAUUAUCUGAUCAACUGAUCAAUAAAGAACUUUCAAUUGGUGGUUAUAUUUUAAACCUCUACAGACGGGUCCAUCUAAGAAAUUAUUACAUCUUUUCUGCCUGUUUUGUUGACAGGUUUAGCGAUGUAAUUAUUUUGGGAUCCAUGAAGAAAAGUAUGUGCUUUUUUACCAUUUCCAAAAAGUUCAACGUUAAUUUACUCAUUUCAUACUUUUUUGGUGUUUGUGUACAAUCAAUAUUUUAACAAAUUAAAUUUUCCUUAACUCUA